Molecule: ribosomal RNA, 434 nt
Filed under: uncultured Lachnospiraceae bacterium
Lineage: Bacteria; Bacillati; Bacillota; Clostridia; Lachnospirales; Lachnospiraceae
Description: partial 16S ribosomal RNA
Rfam family: Bacterial small subunit ribosomal RNA
Source: RNAcentral
ACGGGAGGCAGCAGUGGGGGAUAUUGCACAAUGGGGGAAACCCUGACGCAGCGACGCCGCGUGAGUGAUGAAGUAUUUCGGUAUGUAAAGCUCUAUCAGCAGGGAAGAAAAUGACGGUACCUGACUAAGAAGCACCGGCUAAAUACGUGCCAGCAGCCGCGGUAAUACGUAUGGUGCAAGCGUUAUCCGGAUUUACUGGGUGUAAAGGGAGCGUAGACGGAUGGCUAAGUCUGAUGUGAAAGGUGAGGGCUCAACCCUUAAACUGCAUUGGAAACUGGUCAUCUAGAGUGUCGGAGAGGUAAGUGGAAUUCCUAGUGUAGCGGUGAAAUGCGUAGAUAUUAGGAGGAACACCAGUGGCGAAGGCGGCUUACUGGACGAUAACUGACGUUGAGGCUCGAAAGCGUGGGGAGCAAACAGGAUUAGAUACCCUGGUA